UCUUCAGAGACAAAAAUGUUCUUUCUCUCUGCAGGACACACUUCCUGUUUCUUCUCUGUGCAGGACACACUUCCUGUUACUCUCCUUAGACAGACACACUUCUUGUGUCUCUCCUGUGCAGGAUACACGUCCUAUUUCUCCCCUGUGAAGGACACACUUUCUGUUUAUCCUUUGUGCAGGACACACUUCCUGAUCCUCCCCUGUACAGGACACACAUCCUAUGUCUACCUAUUGCAGGACACACUACUGGUGUCUCCCCUGUGCAUAGUACACUUCCUGUUAUUCUCCUGAGAGACACACUUCCUGUUCCUUCCCUGCACAGGACACACUUCCUGUGUCUCCCCUUGCAGAACACACUAUCUGUUCCUUCUCUGAGGAGCAUACAGUUUCUGUUCUUUCACUGUGCAGUUCAGACUUCUUGUUAUUCUCCUGAGACAGACACACUUCCUGUUUUGUCCCUGUGCGGGACACAUUUCCUCUGUCUUACCUGUGAAGGAUGUAUUUCCUGUUACUCUCCUGAGAGAGACACAAUUCUUGUUCCUGCCUUGUGCAGGACACACUUCCUGUUAAUCUCCUUAGACACACUUCCUUUGUCUUUCCUGUGCAGGACACACUUCAUGUUUCUCCCCUAUGAAAGACACAUCUGUUUAUCCUCUGUGCAAGAAACACUUUCUGUUCCUCCCCUGU
This is a long non-coding RNA of Sapajus apella (tufted capuchin), 687 nucleotides long. RefSeq lists it as uncharacterized. NCBI's taxonomy places the organism in Eukaryota, Metazoa, Chordata, Mammalia, Primates, Cebidae. The transcript has 3 exons. The record is from RefSeq and is a predicted model, not a curated record.